CCUACGGGAGGCAGCAGUGGGGAAUAUUGGACAAUGGGGGCAACCCUGAUCCAGCCAUGCCGCGUGUGUGAAGAAGGCCCUCGGGUUGUAAAGCACUUUCAGUGAGGAAGAACGCCUGGUGGUUAAUACCCAUCAGGAAAGACAUCACUCACAGAAGAAGCACCGGCUAACUCCGUGCCAGCAGCCGCGGUAAUACGGAGGGUGCGAGCGUUAAUCGGAAUUACUGGGCGUAAAGCGCGCGUAGGUGGCUUGGUAAGCCGGUUGUGAAAGCCCCGGGCUCAACCUGGGAACGGCAUCCGGAACUGUCAAGCUAGAGUGCAGGAGAGGAAGGUAGAAUUCCCGGUGUAGCGGUGAAAUGCGUAGAGAUCGGGAGGAAUACCAGUGGCGAAGGCGGCCUUCUGGACUGACACUGACACUGAGGUGCGAAAGCGUGGGUAGCAAACAGGAUUAGAUACCCGAGUAGUC
Molecule: ribosomal RNA, 465 nt
Filed under: Vreelandella stevensii
Lineage: Bacteria; Pseudomonadati; Pseudomonadota; Gammaproteobacteria; Oceanospirillales; Halomonadaceae
Description: partial 16S ribosomal RNA
Rfam family: Bacterial small subunit ribosomal RNA
Source: RNAcentral